UGGAUUAACAGGUGAUUGUGAGCUGCCAUG
This 30-nucleotide non-coding RNA is filed under the name Mus musculus (house mouse). The record is from RNAcentral. Lineage: Eukaryota; Metazoa; Chordata; Mammalia; Rodentia; Muridae.